GAUGAACGCUGGCGGCGUGCUUAACACAUGCAAGUCGAACGAGCCUUCGGGCUAGUGGCGGACGGGUGAGUAACGCGUGGGAAUCUGCCCUCAGGAGGGGGAUAACGGCCGGAAACGGCCGCUAAUACCCCAUAUGCCGAGAGGUGAAAUGAAUUUCGCCUGAGGAUGAGCCCGCGUCUGAUUAGCUAGUUGGUGGGGUAAUGGCCCACCAAGGCGACGAUCAGUAGCUGGUCUGAGAGGAUGAUCAGCCACACUGGGACUGAGACACGGCCCAGACUCCUACGGGAGGCAGCAGUGGGGAAUUUUCCGCAAUGGGCGAAAGCCUGACGGAGCAACGCCGCGUGAGGGAUGAAGGCCUCUGGGCUGUAAACCUCUUUUCUCAAGGAAGAAGACAUGACGGUACUUGAGGAAUAAGCCACGGCUAAUUCCGUGCCAGCAGCCGCGGUAAUACGGGAGUGGCAAGCGUUAUCCGGAAUUAUUGGGCGUAAAGCGUCCGCAGGCGGCCUUGUAAGUCUGUCGUUAAAGCGUGGAGCUUAACUCCAUUUCAGCGAUGGAAACUACAAGGCUUGAGUGUGGUAGGGGCAGAGGGAAUUCCCGGUGUAGCGGUGAAAUGCGUAGAUAUCGGGAAGAACACCAGUGGCGAAGGCGCUCUGCUGGGCCAUAACUGACGCUCAUGGACGAAAGCCAGGGGAGCGAAAGGGAUUAGAUACCCCUGUAGUCCUGGCCGUAAACGAUGAACACUAGGUGUCGGGGGAAUCGACCCCUUCGGUGUCGUAGCUAACGCGUUAAGUGUUCCGCCUGGGGAGUACGCACGCAAGUGUGAAACUCAAAGGAAUUGACGGGGGCCCGCACAAGCGGUGGAGUAUGUGGUUUAAUUCGAUGCAACGCGAAGAACCUUACCAGGGUUUGACAUCCUGCGAAUCCCUUGGAAACGAGGGAGUGCCUUCGGGAGCGCAGAGACAGGUGGUGCAUGGCUGUCGUCAGCUCGUGUCGUGAGAUGUUGGGUUAAGUCCCGCAACGAGCGCAACCCACGUCUUUAGUUGCCAGCAUUUAGUUGGGCACUCUAGAGAGACCGCCGGUGAUAAACCGGAGGAAGGUGUGGAUGACGUCAAGUCAUCAUGCCCCUUACAUCCUGGGCUACACACGUACUACAAUGCUACGGACAAAGGGUUGCAAGCUCGCGAGAGUUAGCUAAUCCCAUAAACCGUGGCUCAGUUCAGAUCGUAGGCUGCAACUCGCCUACGUGAAGGAGGAAUCGCUAGUAAUCGCAGGUCAGCAUACUGCGGUGAAUACGUUCCCGGGCCUUGUACACACCGCCCGUCACACCAUGGAAGUUGGCCAUGCCCGAAGUCGUUACUCCAACCCUUGUGGAGGAGGACGCCGACGGUGGGGCUGAUGACUGGGGUGAAGUCGUAACAAGGUAGCCGUACCGGAAGGUGCGGCUGGAUCACCUCCU
Molecule: ribosomal RNA, 1456 nt
Filed under: Cyanobium sp. JJ19-11
Lineage: Bacteria; Bacillati; Cyanobacteriota; Cyanophyceae; Synechococcales; Prochlorococcaceae
Description: 16S ribosomal RNA
Rfam family: Bacterial small subunit ribosomal RNA
Source: RNAcentral